This 1651-nucleotide ribosomal RNA is filed under the name Paramoebidium sp. TN-38-W15. Its description in RNAcentral is "eukaryotic LSU rRNA". It matches the Rfam family "Eukaryotic large subunit ribosomal RNA", at positions 114 to 1437 of the family's 3401-position model. Lineage: Eukaryota; Ichthyosporea; Ichthyophonida; Amoebidiaceae. The record is from RNAcentral.
UUUCCAAGCUCCAUGGAAAAAACAAGCCAUGGCGCGUUGUAGACUAAAGGGGCGUUAUCUUGGACAGGCCGAGUAUAGAUCCGUUGGAACACGGUAUCAUAGAGGGUGAGAAUCCCGUCUGUGACUCGGAGAUCUGGCCAUAUACGUUACGCUUCCAAAGAGUCGGGUUGUUUGGGAAUGCAGCCCAAAAUGGGUGGUAAAUUUCAUCUAAGGCUAAAUAUUGGCACGAGACCGAUAGCGAACAAGUACCAUGAGGGAAAGAUGAAAAGAACUUUGAAAAGAGAGUCAAAAAGUACGUGAAACCGUUAAAGGGGAAACGAAUGGAGCUAGCAUUUGUGGCUUCCACAAUCAGUCAGAUGGUAGGCGACUGAACGCGUGGGCGUAGACCUUGGUGGGUAACCACCGGGGCAUGAACGCGUGUUCACGUAACGCUUGGCAGCUGGUGCACUUGUGGAUUUCACAGGCCAACAUCGGUUCUGCCCGGGAGAUAGGAGCCCAGAGAAGGUAGUUGCGGCGCCUCGGUGUCGUAAUGUUAUAACUCUGGGCGAGUGUUCCGAGCAGGACCGAGGAGAAGCAGCACGCACAAAUUCGGAGAGCUACCGCUGGGGUUGCAGGUGUGGGGGAACUGCUGCGUGUCGCUUUAUUGCGUGCGCAGCCAGUGUCUCAUGCCGUCAAUUUGGGGCCGGCUCACUCCUCUCGGGGGGAGAGACGGGCCCAAAGAUCAGCAGCCUCAUACGGGGUGUACCCAGACCACGUGCUUGUGAUGUUGGCGAAAAAUGGCUCCAUCCGACCCGUCUUGAAACACGGACCAAGGAGUCUAACAUAUACGCGAGUCUUUGGGUUAAAAGCCCGCAGGCACAAUGAAAGUGAAGGCACACAUGGUGUGCUGAGGUGAGAAGUCGCCGGGUGCGAGGCCUCUCGGGGUCUCGCAGACGAGCGACAGCAUCAUCGACCGAUCCGGAUGGUUCUAUCCUGAAAGAUUUGAGUAAGAGCGUAUCUGUUGGGACCCGAAAGAUGGUGAACUAUGCCUGAACAGGGUGAAGUCUGAGGAAACUCAGAUGGAAGCUCGUAGCGAUUCUGACGUGCAAAUCGAUCGUCUGAUUUGGGUAUAGGGGCGAAAGACUAAUCGAACUAUCUAGUAGCUGGUUCCCUCCGAAGUUUCCCUCAGGAUAGCUGGAACUAACAGACUCGAAGCAGUUUUAUCAGGUAAAGCGAAUGAUUAGAGGCCUUGGGGUUGAAAUAACCUCAACCUAUUCUCAAACUUUAAAUAGGUAAGAAGCCUGGCUUGCUUAAUUGAAGCCAGGCACAACUGAAUGCAAGUUCCUAGUGGGCCAUUUUUGGUAAGCAGAACUGGCGAUGCGGGAUGAACCGAACGCAAAGUUAAAGUGCCAAAGUUCACGCUCACCUAGAACCCAGAAAAGGUGUUGGCUGAUGAAGACAGCAGGACGGUGGCCAUGGAAGUCGGAACCCGCUAAGGAGUGUGUAACAACUCACCUGCCGAAUCAGCCAGCCCUGAAAAUGGAUGGCGCUCAAGCGUGACACUCAUACUUUGCCGUUGCCUUUUUUUUCUCACGAAAAAUAAAAAUCGCAACGAGUAGGAGGGCGUGGAGGUCGUGAAGCAGCUUUGGGCGUGAGCCUGAGUGAAACGGCC